Molecule: long non-coding RNA, 1153 nt
Organism: Lynx canadensis (Canada lynx)
Lineage: Eukaryota; Metazoa; Chordata; Mammalia; Carnivora; Felidae
Exons: 5
Source: RefSeq, a predicted model, not a curated record
CCGCGCGCCGGUGGCGGUUUUUCCCGCGGCGGCGACCGUUGCUCCAGGCGACUGUUCGAGGGUGGAGGUGUUUGUGCGUCGGCGGCUCCCUGGGACUCAGAGUCGGCCGUCUCCCUUUUACGGCGGCUCGUGUUGUGGUUUCGAGUGUGGUUUCCCUUGGGCUGUGCUCUUUGGCGUGCCUCUCCGCUCGGCCCGGGUUAACGUACGCGACUCUGACUCUCCUCAGCCGGCAACCGAGGCCGCGACGCCAGAAUGGCGGACGUCUGCGAUCUACGUCGAGGGCGGGAUUCGCGUCUCAACUGCGCUCGGCCGCAUCCUUUCCUCGUCGGCCUUUCCAGCGCCUCGACCUGCUGUGGAAGUGAACGAAGACGCCUGGAAAGGGUCUAGACCCCGCUAAAGCGAGGGAGUCCGCCACCAUCCUGGGCCUUUGGCGGAGGCUCGAAGGCAGGCACGGAAAGCUUUUCAGCGACAAGCAGGAGAGGCCUCGGGUGCGCCUUGGAUGCACUUUGGCGAGUGUGGAAGUUGGAGACGGGCUAACUAAGCGGGUCAUCCUGUCUGGGAUGGCUUAGGGAGUAUAUUUGGCUUUCUCCGGUUGGCCCGAAGUGGGCCAGGGACAAAAAAAUAGCCAGAGCAAGAGAACGUGUAUACAUGCCAGAGAGGGACAGAGAGAGAUGGAGAGAGAAUCCCAAGCAGGAGCCGCACUACCAGCACAGAGCCCAACUCGGGGCUUGAACCCAUGAACCGCGAAAUCAGGACCUGAGCCGAGGUCGAGAGUUGGACCCUCAACUGACCGCGCCACUGAGGCACCCUGGUGGUCUCCCUGGUUGUCCUUUGGUCUUGAGAACGUCAUCACUCAGUGCUGCUUUUCAUAUUCAGUUCCAAAUGCCAACCACGCCCGUUCGUGUUACAUUGCAGGAUCAGGCUGAAAAGGCCAUGUGUCUUCAACCGGCUCAGCUUGAGGGCUAUGAGGUACCGUCACGCGACCUGGGGAGACUACGGAAAGAAGUGAAGUAGCAAAGAGGGGAACACCGAGCUUGGCAGUCAGGGAUGGGGCAAGAACAGGGAGCACUCUCCCAGCUCUCUGACUCCUCAUAUGCCUUCAAGGUGGGCGGUGAUGAUAAAACGAUGUGAUCGGCCAUAAAAUUAUCAAGAG